UACGUAGGGCGCAAGCGUUUGUCCGGAAUUAUUGGGCGUAAAGAGCUCGUAGGCGGCUUGUCACGUCGGGUGUGAAAGCCCGGGGCUUAACCCCCGGGUCUGCAUUCGAUACGGGCUGGCUGGAGUGUGGUAGGGGAGAUCGAAUUCCUGGUGUAGCGGUGAAAUGCGCAGAUAUCAGGAGGAACACCGGUGGCGAAGGCGGAUCUCUGGGCCAUUACUGACGCUGAGGAGCGAAAGCGUGGGGAGCGAACAGG
Molecule: ribosomal RNA, 254 nt
Filed under: uncultured bacterium
Lineage: Bacteria
Description: partial 16S ribosomal RNA
Rfam family: Bacterial small subunit ribosomal RNA
Source: RNAcentral